CCCUAUGAAUUGUUUAAAUGGCCGCGGUUUUCCGUGCUAAGGUAGCAUAAUAGUUUGCCCUUUAAUUGAGGGAUGGAAUGAAUGGUGUGACGGAGAUUAGCUGUCUUUAUAUUAUAAAUGAAAUUUCUUUGUUGGUGAAAAAGCCAACUUCUAAGUAAAAGACGAGAAGACCCUAUUGAGCUUAAUUAGGUUGAUGAGCUUUUUUCAGUUGAAGUUUAAUUGGGACUAUUAGGGAACAAUAUUAGAUUCUCUUUAUUAUAUUAGGAUGAGUUUUAUUACUUUGGAAGAAAAAGCUACCAUAGGGAUAACAGCGUUAUCUUUCAUGAGAGAUCAAAUUGAAUGAAGG
RNAcentral lists this ribosomal RNA (346 nucleotides) under Entovalva sp. MN7623. RNAcentral's name for it is "partial 16S ribosomal RNA". It matches the Rfam family "Bacterial large subunit ribosomal RNA", at positions 1862 to 2515 of the family's 2925-position model. The record is from RNAcentral. Lineage: Eukaryota; Metazoa; Mollusca; Bivalvia; Galeommatida; Montacutidae.